ACAAGCGGUGGAGCAUGUGGUUUAAUUCGAUGCAACGCGAAGAACCUUACCAGGUCUUGACAUCCCGAUGCUAUUUCUAGAGAUAGAAAGUUACUUCGGUACAUCGGUGACAGGUGGUGCAUGGUUGUCGUCAGCUCGUGUCGUGAGAUGUUGGGUUAAGUCCCGCAACGAGCGCAACCCCUAUUGUUAGUUGCCAUCAUUCAGUUGGGCACUCUAGCGAGACUGCCGGUAAUAAACCGGAGGAAGUGGGGAUGACGUCAAAUCAUCAUGCCCCUUAUGACCUGGGCUACACACGUGCUACAAUGGUUGGUACAACGAGUUGCGAGUCGGUGACGGCGAGCUAAUCUCUUAAAGCCAAUCUCAGUUCGGAUUGUAGGCUGCAACUCGCCUACAUGAAGUCGGAAUCGCUAGUAAUCGCGGAUCAGCACGCCGCGGUGAAUACGUUCCCGGGCCUU
This 455-nucleotide ribosomal RNA is filed under the name uncultured Streptococcus sp. Its description in RNAcentral is "bacterial SSU rRNA". It matches the Rfam family "Bacterial small subunit ribosomal RNA", at positions 925 to 1382 of the family's 1533-position model. Lineage: Bacteria; Bacillati; Bacillota; Bacilli; Lactobacillales; Streptococcaceae. The record is from RNAcentral.